ACAUCUCAACUCCUCACGGUUUGCCCGUGAUGAGCUUGGACUUUGGGGGUUUUGCUGGCCUGCAGGUCGGCUCCUCUAAAAUGAAUCAGCUUGCCGGUGUUUGGUGGCGUCACAGGUGUGAUAACUAUCUACGCUUGUGGUUUUCCGCCAGGUAACCUCCAGCGAUGGGGGUUCACUGGAGCUCACAAAUGUCUCUCCUCGGCGAGGACAGCUCUUUGAAC
Molecule: unclassified non-coding RNA, 221 nt
Filed under: uncultured Tomentella
Lineage: Eukaryota; Fungi; Basidiomycota; Agaricomycetes; Thelephorales; Thelephoraceae
Also listed under: 1 other name
Description: sequence contains ITS2
Source: RNAcentral